Molecule: long non-coding RNA, 3618 nt
Filed under: Lactuca sativa (garden lettuce)
Lineage: Eukaryota; Viridiplantae; Streptophyta; Magnoliopsida; Asterales; Asteraceae
Description: long non-coding RNA (LSAT_LNC001013)
Source: RNAcentral
ACAACACAUGAAAAAUCAAUGGAGCUGAUUGAAUUAACAAAGCUUAGCUGUUUGCUAUGUACAUGCACUCUACAAUCUAAGGCGAUAUUUGUUUCUAGAAAUGUGGUUACAAACAAAAGUGCUUCCCACAACUAAGGUAGUUUAGUAACAUCGACAAUGUAAGUUGAACUACAAAAAGGCAAUAUACAGAAAAAUCACAAUAUUUCGGCCAAUUUUUUGCAGUUUAACAACUCCAUUUCAGUUUUAGCUCAUCAAACCUACCCAAGUUUGAAAUUUCUUUCUAUAUUGACAAAUUUGACCUACUAUAGCAGGUUAAAGUGGUCAUAAUUGAAAAGGUUGUCAAAGUUUAGUCCACUUAAUUUCACUAAAGCCACUCAACUUUGACAAAAUUUUCUAUAGUGACCACUUUAACCUGCUAUAGCAGGUCAAAGUGGUCAGCAUAGAACAUUUCUCCAAACUUGGGUGGAUUUCAUAAGGNAAGUUUGAAAUUUCUUUCUAUAUUGACAAAUUUGACCUACUAUAGCAGGUUAAAGUGGUCAUAAUUGAAAAGGUUGUCAAAGUUUAGUCCACUUAAUUUCACUAAAGCCACUCAACUUUGACAAAAUUUUCUAUAGUGACCACUUUAACCUGCUAUAGCAGGUCAAAGUGGUCAGCAUAAGGCAAGCUGAAGUAGAGUGCCAUGAUUUAUGAAGAGAAAAUAAAUGCCAUUGGACUUUUCACAAAUUCCAGGUCACCACUGGCAUGACACCUCAGCAGAAACUUUUAUGAGGUUCUGGUGGUGACAGACAGAAUCAACAACAUGAAGAGAGUGGAAGGAUCAUAAGAAGCAUACUUCUGAAAGACACAGAAUCAGCAUAAACAUAGAAGACCACCUAGGCCAAAAAAUCUGGGCCUACAUGUGAAAGAUUCAAAUGGUUUACAAGACAAAGUUCAUGUUGGAUUUUAUGGUGAAAAAAUGAAUUAAGAGAAAUCAGAUCGUGGUGUUUGGACUCCACUCCGUUAAGGAAGAAGGUUUGUCAAAUGACCAAAAUACCCUUGUUAUAUAUAUAGCCAAAUAACUAAAAACAAGAAAUCAGUUGUAUGCUAUGCUUUAUGUUGUUGGCAAGAGAGAACAAGUAGAUGGUGGAUGAAAGAAAAGGUAUACUAAAUCAAUCAUAAAAGUGGCCUUAAUUAUAUAGGCUUACAGGAGAUUUUGAACAGCUACAAAAAAGAAAAUAGAAACAAGAAAAAACAAAACUGCCAGGGUGCUAAUUAACACAAUUAAUUAGCAUUUAUUCAAAUUAAAACUUGAAAAUGAACAGACUUUGAUUAGCAAUUAAUCAACAUAUAUAUUUCAGGCGUGUCUGCUGGAACACGUGUAUAAACACAUACAAGCAUGAUAAAAACCGUAAAAUAUACAGAAUAUUGUAACUCUGAACUUUACUUGUCUGUAUUGAAGAAUGGAUAAAUGCAAGAAAUAGCAACGCAUUUCCAUUUAUUAUUUUAUUAAAGCAUCCUACUUUCAUUUCUUUCUAUUACAGCAACAGAAAUCCUUUGUAUUUAGAUGACACUGCUAUAAUUGGGUGGGUUUCUUAAAGUAGAAUGCUUUAAUAGGAAAAAGUGAAAGUAAGAUGAUCUGAUAAGCAAAUCGAUAAAAAAAAUUGCUACUUUCAUAUAGGUACUUUUAAAAUCCACCCAUUUAUAGCAUUUUACUUUCAACUUUUCUUUUCAGGCCAUUGUAGCCACAUAUUAUUAGGUAUAUUUUUCAAAGUAUGAUGCUAUAACUGGAAUAAAUGAAAGUAGGAUUUUAUAAUAAGAAAAUAAAGGAAAGUAUGUUGAACAAAAAAAAUGACUAAAAUAUACCCAAUUCAAAAUUAGUAUAGUGCCAUGAUUUAUGAAGAGAAAACAAAUAUCAUUGGACUCUAUAUAUAACCCAUUACCCCCUCAAUGUGAGAAAACGAAAACAUAACAUUACUUCUAAAUUUAUUAUUCAGAAAUGAGUUUGCAAUCAAUAUGCUUAUAUUUCCGUACUUCCACUGAUUACAUGCAUCAUCUUCUUCAUGUUAAUUUAUUAUACAUCUAUGAAUUUUCAUUAUUUGUAUAGUGUAAAAUCUAUCUUAAUUCUAAUAUUCUAAAUAGAUCGAAAGCAUGCUUAGAACAAAGAUUUUUUCAAGGGAGUCCUUUUCAGUAAAGACUUGGUUAAUUAUACUUGAUAAAUUAAGAUCUAGAGAUAUUUCCAAAAUUGACACUCUUGACAUUUGACUCUGAUAGUUCAAUGUCAUAAAGUUAGUUAAUAUUUUAAAUAUGACACUUUUCUGGUACAAUAGAAGUUGUAAACAGGAGCCUUUUGCCACAUAUUGUAUUUAUAUAUUUUCAGUUGGCACACGAGAUACAGUUAUGUAAAGUUUCAUAUUCUUUUGUUUGAUGUCAGCAAAAAAAAUAUUUCUUUUAAACAGCAAACCAAAUUUUAUUAAGCCAAACUAGCGCAUGCUAGGAAACAAAAAAAAAUGCAUCAAUAAAAUCAUUUUUGUUCUAUUUUUCAUGACUUAUAUACAUCAAUCAAUCAAUUUUUUUCUCUUCCUCACAAUCCGGUCUUAUCAUAAAUCAAUUUAAUGACCUACGCAAAUGAAAAAACUAUUAAAUAUUAUGCAUGCAGUUAUUCAUUUUUGUCUUUCCAGCUUCAGAAGUAUUAGCUAAUGGAAUUAUAUCACACAACUAAUGGAGAAGAGAAUAUUAAAAAAAGAAAUAAAACAAAUAAUUGAAUACAUAAAGGUGCUAAUUAACACAACUAAUUAGCAUUCAUUCAAAUUAAAACUUGAAAAUGAACAGACUUUGAUUAGCAAUUAAUCAAGAUAUAUUUCUGGUGCAGAAUCAAAGUAUGACACAGGAAGUGGACAUGGUGGUCAUUAUAAUGGUUAGUCUCAACUUCAAAACUAAAAAAGACAAUGAAUAUGAGAUAUAAACAAAUGCAAGCAUGAUAUAAACCAUAAAAUAUACAAAUAUUUCACCUAGAUUUAUAGCUAUGAAAUUUACUUGUCUGUACAAAAGAAGGGCUAAAUGCAAGAAAUAGAAACACAUUUCCAUUUAUUCGUUUGUUAUAGCAUCCUACUUUCAUUUCUUUCUAUUGCAGAAAUAGAAAUCCUUUGUAUUUGGAUGACAUUGCUAGAAUUGGGUGGGUUUCUGAAAGUACAAUGCUUUAAUAGGAAAAAAUGAAAGUAGGAUGCUCUUAGUUAUAAGCAAAUAAAUGAAAGUAAAUUGCUAUUUCUAUCAUUUUAGCCUUUAAUAAAUGACACAAGACCACCAUAUUGGUGCUAUAAUUGGUAUAUUUUUCAAAAAAAAAAAAUGCAUCAACAAAAAAGACAUCAAUAAAAUCAUUUUUGUUCCAUUUUUCAAAUUACCUAAUAAAAAAUCAAGAAUAAUGUUGAUAUGGCUUAUAUGCAUCUAUCAAUUAAUUUUUUUUCUCUCCCUCACAAUCCGGUUUGAGUCCACCAUCCAUUUUAGUUAAUUUAACUAAAUUAAACUGGAUACAAAACAUUUUAAAUGAUUUAUAACCAUGCUUAUCAUAAAUAACUUUGUGACCUAUGCAACCGAAUAAAAUUUAAAAAAAAAAAAAAAAACAAAAAAAAAAUAGGUAUGUAG